ACCUAACAACUCCAGAUG
This 18-nucleotide ribosomal RNA is filed under the name Scedosporium apiospermum. RNAcentral describes it as "partial 28S ribosomal RNA". Lineage: Eukaryota; Fungi; Ascomycota; Sordariomycetes; Microascales; Microascaceae. The record is from RNAcentral.